RNAcentral lists this ribosomal RNA (467 nucleotides) under uncultured bacterium. RNAcentral's name for it is "partial 16S ribosomal RNA". It matches the Rfam family "Bacterial small subunit ribosomal RNA", at positions 28 to 506 of the family's 1533-position model. The record is from RNAcentral.
GACGAACGCUGGCGGCGUGCUUAACACAUGCAAGUCGAACGGAAAGGCCCUGCUUUUGUGGGGUGCUCGAGUGGCGAACGGGUGAGUAACACGUGAGUAACCUGCCCUUGACUUUGGUAUAACUUCAGGAAACUGGGGCUAAUACCUGAUAGGAGCUCCUGCUGCAUGGUGGGGGUCGGAAAGUUUCGGCGGUUGGGGAUGGACUCGCGGCUUAUCAGCUUGUUGGUGGGGUAGUGGCUUACCAAGGCUUUGACGGGUAGCCGGCCUGAGAGGGUGACCGGCAAGUGGGGCACAAGGACGCGGCCGAGACACCAACGGGAGGGAGAGGUGGGGAAGAUUGCAAGAGGGGUGGAAGCGUGACGCGGAAGCGCCGGGGGCGAGGAGGGGGCUUUGGGGUUGAAACCCCCUUUCCCGGGGGAAGACGGAUGGGGGACGGACAUGGGUAAAAAAGAACCGCCAAAAGACGU